CAAUAGCGUAUAUUUAAGUUGCUGCAGUUAAAAAGCUCGUAGUUGGAUUUCGGGUGGGAAUGGCCGGUCCGCCGUUUCGGUGUGCACUUGCUACGCCCACCUUGCUGCCGGGGACGUGCUCUUGAGUUCACGCUCGGGACACGGAGUCGGCGAGGUUACUUUGAGUAAAUUAGAGUGUUCAAAGCAGGCCUACGCUCUGAAUACAUUAGCAUGGAAUAACACGAUAGGACUCCGAGCCUAUUCUGUUGGUCUUCGGGACCGGAGUAAUGAUUAAGAGGGACAGUUGGGGGCAUUCGUAUUCCGAUGUCAGAGGUGAAAUUCUUGGAUUAUCGGAAGACGAACAUCUGCGAAAGCAUUUGCCAAGGAUGUUUUCAUUAA
RNAcentral lists this ribosomal RNA (378 nucleotides) under uncultured eukaryote. Its description in RNAcentral is "partial 18S ribosomal RNA". It matches the Rfam family "Eukaryotic small subunit ribosomal RNA", at positions 592 to 976 of the family's 1831-position model. The record is from RNAcentral.